RNAcentral lists this transfer RNA (73 nucleotides) under Tulasnella sp. RNAcentral's name for it is "tRNA-Met". It matches the Rfam family "tRNA". From Rfam's summary of the family: Transfer RNA (tRNA) molecules are approximately 80 nucleotides in length. Their secondary structure includes four short double-helical elements and three loops (D, anti-codon, and T loops). Further hydrogen bonds mediate the characteristic L-shaped molecular structure. tRNAs have two regions of fundamental functional importance: the anti-codon, which is responsible for specific mRNA codon recognition, and the 3' end, to which the tRNAs corresponding amino acid is attached (by aminoacyl-tRNA synthetases). tRNAs cope with the degeneracy of the genetic code in two manners: having more than one tRNA (with a specific anti-codon) for a particular amino acid; and 'wobble' base-pairing, i.e. permitting non-standard base-pairing at the 3rd anti-codon position. The record is from RNAcentral. Lineage: Eukaryota; Fungi; Basidiomycota; Agaricomycetes; Cantharellales; Tulasnellaceae. RNAcentral also lists the same sequence under 4 other names.
GCUGAAAUAGUUUAAUUGGUUAAAACAUUUCAUUCAUGAUGAUAAAAAGAAGGUUCGAUUCCUUUUUUCGGCU